GGUCCCGUAGUUCAACGGAUAGAACGAGCGUUUCCUAAACGCUAAAUACAUGUUCGAUUCAUGUCGGGAUCA
RNAcentral lists this transfer RNA (72 nucleotides) under Bacteroidota bacterium. RNAcentral's name for it is "Bacteroidetes bacterium (soil metagenome) tRNA-Arg". It matches the Rfam family "tRNA". Rfam says of the family: Transfer RNA (tRNA) molecules are approximately 80 nucleotides in length. Their secondary structure includes four short double-helical elements and three loops (D, anti-codon, and T loops). Further hydrogen bonds mediate the characteristic L-shaped molecular structure. tRNAs have two regions of fundamental functional importance: the anti-codon, which is responsible for specific mRNA codon recognition, and the 3' end, to which the tRNAs corresponding amino acid is attached (by aminoacyl-tRNA synthetases). tRNAs cope with the degeneracy of the genetic code in two manners: having more than one tRNA (with a specific anti-codon) for a particular amino acid; and 'wobble' base-pairing, i.e. permitting non-standard base-pairing at the 3rd anti-codon position. The record is from RNAcentral. Lineage: Bacteria; Pseudomonadati; Bacteroidota.